RNAcentral lists this non-coding RNA (115 nucleotides) under Parafrankia sp. Ea1.12. Its description in RNAcentral is "Frankia sp. Ea1.12 TPP". It matches the Rfam family "TPP riboswitch aptamer (THI element)". From Rfam's summary of the family: Vitamin B(1) in its active form thiamin pyrophosphate (TPP) is an essential coenzyme that is synthesised by coupling of pyrimidine and thiazole moieties in bacteria. RNAcentral also lists the same sequence under 2 other names. The record is from RNAcentral. Lineage: Bacteria; Bacillati; Actinomycetota; Actinomycetes; Frankiales; Frankiaceae.
GUGGCGUGACCGGGGAGCCCGCGGACGCGGGCUGAGAGGCCGGCCAGCAUGCCGCCGGCGACCCGCAUAACCCGAUCGCGGUCAUGCGCGCGUGGGGAGGAACCAUCUGAUGACA